RNAcentral lists this unclassified non-coding RNA (327 nucleotides) under Hevea brasiliensis (rubber tree). The record is from RNAcentral. Lineage: Eukaryota; Viridiplantae; Streptophyta; Magnoliopsida; Malpighiales; Euphorbiaceae.
GGGAGAAGGGAAAUGGAGAUGGAGAAGGUAAAAGAAGAGGAAAUGGUAGAUGGGUUGGAGUCAGGGAUGAGAAGAAAUAAAGUUAUGAGUUUGGUGUGGGAAGAUAUUACAGUAAUGGCAGACAAGAACUCCUACUCGAGAUUGCUGACGAGCAAAGCAGCAAAAGGCAGGAAGUUGCUGAAUGGUCUAAGUGGGUUUGCUUUGCCUUGUCGAAUUAUGGCCAUUAUGGGUCCUUCUGGCUCUGGCAAAUCCACCUUGCUUGAUUCAUUGGCUGGGAGGCUUUCGCACAACGUAAUAAUGACAGGAAAUGUUUUGCUGAAUGGGAAG